Molecule: non-coding RNA, 842 nt
Organism: Triticum urartu
Lineage: Eukaryota; Viridiplantae; Streptophyta; Magnoliopsida; Poales; Poaceae
Source: RefSeq, a predicted model, not a curated record
CAAAUAGAGAAAAUGAGGGAGCAAGCUAAGAAAAAGAAGUCAAAGAUGGUUAUUGAUGAAAAUGGAGAUGUUGACUUCCCUAUAAUUCUAACUCACAUUCAGAACAGAACUUUGAGGCCAGGUCUUGACCCAACACAGGUUGAAGACAGCAUGAUACAUAUUUUAUCACAUGAGGUACUUGUGCCACAAUUUCACAAUAUUCUAUUCCUUAAAAUUGCAUUUUCAUGAAAAACUGACAUUACCGUUGUUUCUUUGUAUAGGGAACAACACAAGGAAUUCCUGUUACUAGGAUACACCAAAUUCCCAAGGAAAGUGCAUUUGUAGUUGAGCACAGGGCCAACAUAGCAGCUAGAGGAAGAGGAGUUAGAGGAGCUGCUGCUUCUGCACAAGCACCAGGCAGAGGAAGAGGAGCUGGAAGAGGUGCUGGUUCUGAACAAGCACAAGGCAGAGGAAGAGGAGCUGGAAGAGCUAGUGCUUCUGCACAAGCACCAGGCAGAGGAAGAGGAGCUGGAAGAGGUACUUCUUCUGCACAAACACAAGUCAGAGUGAGAGGAACAAGAGGAAGAAGAGGAACAAGAAACAAGAAAACAAAAACAAAGGGACUGAAGUGGCUGCUACUUGGAGAAGGGUCUAGCAGAACCACACAUGUUCCAGCAGAUGAAGAAUGAGUUGGAGAAGUGCUUGCUACAAUGCAUUUGUUUUGGUAUUUUGUAACUUAAGUACUACUACUAUGUACUGAACUAGUUGGUGUGGUCUUUUGCAUGCUAUCAGUCUGUGUAAACUUGUUGAUGUAAGACAGCAAGCAUAUGUGAGAGUAGACUGGUUCAACUUGACUGGUUCAA